GGUUAAGCGACUAAGCGUACACGGUGGAUGCCCUGGCAGUCAGAGGCGAUGAAGGGCGUGCUAAUCUGCGAUAAGCGCCGGUAAGGUGAUAUGAACCGUUAUAACCGGCGAUACCCGAAUGGGGAAACCCAGUGUGAYUCGUCACACUAUCAUUAACUGAAUCCAUAGGUUAAUGAGGCGAACCGGGGGAACUGAAACAUCUAAGUACCCCGAGGAAAAGAAAUCAACCGAGAUUCCCCCAGUAGCGGCGAGCGAACGGGGAGGAGCCCAGAGCCUGAAUCAGCAUGUGUGUUAGUGGAAGCGUCUGGAAAGGCGCGCGAUACAGGGUGACAGCCCCGUACACAAAAGCGCAUGUGCUGUGAGCUCGAUGAGUAGGGCGGGACACGUGGUAUCCUGUCUGAAUAUGGGGGGACCAUCCUCCAAGGCUAAAUACUCCUGACUGACCGAUAGUGAACCAGUACCGUGAGGGAAAGGCGAAAAGAACCCCGGCGAGGGGAGUGAAAAAGAACCUGAAACCGUGUACGUACAAGCAGUGGGAGC
Molecule: ribosomal RNA, 540 nt
Filed under: Salmonella enterica subsp. enterica serovar Oranienburg
Lineage: Bacteria; Pseudomonadati; Pseudomonadota; Gammaproteobacteria; Enterobacterales; Enterobacteriaceae
Also listed under: 5 other names
Description: partial 23S ribosomal RNA
Source: RNAcentral